RNAcentral lists this ribosomal RNA (253 nucleotides) under uncultured bacterium. Its description in RNAcentral is "partial 16S ribosomal RNA". It matches the Rfam family "Bacterial small subunit ribosomal RNA", at positions 524 to 776 of the family's 1533-position model. The record is from RNAcentral.
UACGUAGGGCGCGAGCGUUAUCCGGAAUUAUUGGGCGUAAAGAGCUCGUAGGCGGUUUGUCACGUCUGCUGUGAAAACUGGAGGCUCAACCUCCAGCCUGCAGUGGGUACGGGCGGACUAGAGUGCGGUAGGGGAGAUUGGAAUUCCUGGUGUAGCGGUGGAAUGCGCAGAUAUCAGGAGGAACACCGAUGGCGAAGGCAGAUCUCUGGGCCGUAACUGACGCUGAGGAGCGAAAGCAUGGGGAGCGAACAGG